Molecule: ribosomal RNA, 303 nt
Filed under: uncultured bacterium
Lineage: Bacteria
Description: partial 16S ribosomal RNA
Rfam family: Bacterial small subunit ribosomal RNA
Source: RNAcentral
AGCAGUCGCCGCGGGAAUACGUAGGGUGCGAGCGUUAAUCGGAAUUAUUGGGCGUAAAGGGCUCGCAGGCGGUUUCUUAAGUCUGAUGUGAAAGCCCCCGGCUCAACCGGGGAGGGUCAUUGGAAACUGGGAAACUUGAGUGCAGAAGAGGAGAGUGGAAUUCCACGUGUAGCGAUGAAAUGCGUAGAGAUGUGGAGGAACACCAGUGGCGAAGGCGACUCUCUGGUCCGUAACUGACGCUGAGGAGCGAAAGCGUGGGAAGCGAACAGGAUUAGAUACCCCCGUAGUCCCUGUCUCUUAUAC